This 75-nucleotide non-coding RNA is filed under the name Trypanosoma cruzi strain CL Brener. Lineage: Eukaryota; Euglenozoa; Kinetoplastea; Trypanosomatida; Trypanosomatidae. The record is from RNAcentral.
CCCUGGCUCAGCCGGCCACCUCAACGUGGUGCCAGGGUCUAGCACCCUCUUGCUAGAGAGGAAGCCAAGCGCCUG